AUGGGAGGGGUGGUGGGAGGAGGGGAGGGAGGUGGAGGAGGCCAUGUCCAUCGUUUGAAUUAUGGGAUUAUUACCCUUCUUCCCAAGACUGUUGGUGCCAAUAAGAUACAACAAUUUCGUUUGAUAUGCUUACUUCGAUGCAUUUAUAAACUGAUCACUAAGGUGCUUACUGUUAGAUUGGAACCUUUUGUUGAUAUCCUGUUCAGUAGACAUCAAAAUGCUUUUAUCAAAAAGCAGGAUAUCAUGGAUGGGAUUAUGUCUCUGCAUGAAAUUCUUCACCAUACAUAUGCUAGAAAAAAAACUGGGAUUGUCCUCAAACUAUAUUUUGAGAAGGCAUACGACAAGGUAAACUUGGAGUUCCUGUUGGAUUGCCACAAAAUGAGAGAAUUUCAUCUGCAAUGGAUUGAAUGGGUUAGAAAAAUUCUGGUAGGGGGCACAGUUAGUGUAAAACUUAAUGAUGACAUUGUGCCCUACUUCCAAAGCUCGAAAGGGGUACGUCAGGGGGACCCUUUUUAUCCUUUUUUGUUUAAUCUUGUUGCAGAUUGCUUGACCAAAAUGGUGCUUAAAGCCCAACAUAACGGCCUAUUUAAAGGACUAGCGGCUGACUUGAUCCCCAAUGUGGUAGCUAUUCCGCAGUAUGCAUAUGAUAUAGUAUUAUGA
RNAcentral lists this ribosomal RNA (660 nucleotides) under Triticum aestivum (bread wheat). RNAcentral describes it as "partial small subunit ribosomal RNA". The record is from RNAcentral. Lineage: Eukaryota; Viridiplantae; Streptophyta; Magnoliopsida; Poales; Poaceae.